AAGUCCCGUAACGAGCGCAACCCUUAUCAAUAGUUGCCAGCGGUUUGGCCGGGCACUCUGAAGAAACUGCCGGUGACAAGCCGGAGGAAGGCGGGGAUGACGUCAAGUCCUCAUGGCCCCUACGGGCUGGGCUACACACGUGCUACAAUGGCGGUGACAGCGGGAAGCGAAGGCGCGAGCUGGAGCGAACCCCGAAAAGCCGUCUCAGUUCGGAUUGCACUCUGCAACUCGAGUGCAUGAAGUCGGAAUCGCUAGUAAUCGCGGAUCAGCACGCCGCGGUGAAUACGUUCCCGGGCCUUGUACACACCGCCCGU
This 314-nucleotide ribosomal RNA is filed under the name uncultured soil bacterium. RNAcentral's name for it is "bacterial SSU rRNA". It matches the Rfam family "Bacterial small subunit ribosomal RNA", at positions 1082 to 1397 of the family's 1533-position model. The record is from RNAcentral.